RNAcentral lists this ribosomal RNA (1074 nucleotides) under Escherichia sp. ESBL100B6_VA_12EESBL. RNAcentral describes it as "bacterial SSU rRNA". It matches the Rfam family "Bacterial small subunit ribosomal RNA", at positions 74 to 1146 of the family's 1533-position model. Lineage: Bacteria; Pseudomonadati; Pseudomonadota; Gammaproteobacteria; Enterobacterales; Enterobacteriaceae. The record is from RNAcentral.
GCUUGCUUCUUUGCUGACGAGUGGCGGACGGGUGAGUAAUGUCUGGGAAACUGCCUGAUGGAGGGGGAUAACUACUGGAAACGGUAGCUAAUACCGCAUAACGUCGCAAGACCAAAGAGGGGGACCUUCGGGCCUCUUGCCAUCGGAUGUGCCCAGAUGGGAUUAGCUUGUUGGUGGGGUAACGGCUCACCAAGGCGACGAUCCCUAGCUGGUCUGAGAGGAUGACCAGCCACACUGGAACUGAGACACGGUCCAGACUCCUACGGGAGGCAGCAGUGGGGAAUAUUGCACAAUGGGCGCAAGCCUGAUGCAGCCAUGCCGCGUGUAUGAAGAAGGCCUUCGGGUUGUAAAGUACUUUCAGCGGGGAGGAAGGGAGUAAAGUUAAUACCUUUGCUCAUUGACGUUACCCGCAGAAGAAGCACCGGCUAACUCCGUGCCAGCAGCCGCGGUAAUACGGAGGGUGCAAGCGUUAAUCGGAAUUACUGGGCGUAAAGCGCACGCAGGCGGUUUGUUAAGUCAGAUGUGAAAUCCCCGGGCUCAACCUGGGAACUGCAUCUGAUACUGGCAAGCUUGAGUCUCGUAGAGGGGGGUAGAAUUCCAGGUGUAGCGGUGAAAUGCGUAGAGAUCUGGAGGAAUACCGGUGGCGAAGGCGGCCCCCUGGACGAAGACUGACGCUCAGGUGCGAAAGCGUGGGGAGCAAACAGGAUUAGAUACCCUGGUAGUCCACGCCGUAAACGAUGUCGACUUGGAGGUUGUGCCCUUGAGGCGUGGCUUCCGGAGCUAACGCGUUAAGUCGACCGCCUGGGGAGUACGGCCGCAAGGUUAAAACUCAAAUGAAUUGACGGGGGCCCGCACAAGCGGUGGAGCAUGUGGUUUAAUUCGAUGCAACGCGAAGAACCUUACCUGGUCUUGACAUCCACAGAACUUUCCAGAGAUGGAUUGGUGCCUUCGGGAACUGUGAAACAGGUGCUGCAUGGCUGUCGUCAGCUCGUGUUGUGAAAUGUUGGGUUAAGUCCCGCAACGAGGCCAACCCUUAUCCUUUGUUGCCAGCGGUCCGGCCGGGAACUCAAAAGG